This 148-nucleotide non-coding RNA is filed under the name Cercocebus atys (sooty mangabey). Lineage: Eukaryota; Metazoa; Chordata; Mammalia; Primates; Cercopithecidae. The record is from Rfam by way of RNAcentral.
GCUGGGUGUGGUGGUGUGCUUCUGUAAUCCCAGCUACUUGGGAGGCUGAGGCAGGAGAAUCGCUUGAACCCAGGAGGCAGAGGUUGCAGUGAGCCGAGUUUGCACCACUGCACUCCAGCCUGGGUGACAAAGUGAGACUCUGCCUCAA